RNAcentral lists this ribosomal RNA (2012 nucleotides) under metagenomes. RNAcentral describes it as "bacterial LSU rRNA". It matches the Rfam family "Bacterial large subunit ribosomal RNA", at positions 1 to 2026 of the family's 2925-position model. The record is from RNAcentral.
GAAAGUAAAUAAGGGCGUAUGGAGGAUGCCUAGGCUCUUGGAGGCGAAGAAAGACGUGAUAAGCUGCGAUAAGCUAGGGGGAGAGGCAAAUACUCAUUAUAUCCCUAGAUUUCUGAAUGGGACAACCCAGUAUGUUGAAGACAUAUUAUCUACCGUAAGGUAAGAAGCAAACCCACUGAACUGAAACAUCUAAGUAAGUGGAGGAGGAGAAAAUAAAUAAUGAUUCCGUAAGUAGUGGCGAGCGAACGCGGAACAGCCCAAACCAGUGUUGUUACGGCAACACUGGGGUUAUAGGACUACAAUGUGGACUUAUAAAUUAUAGUGGAACAGGUUUGGAAAGGCCGAUCAAAGAGGGUGAUAAUCCCGUACACGACAUAGUUUAUAUACCUAGUAGUAUCCUGAGUACUGCGGGGUCGGAGACGCCCUGUAGGAAUUUGCCGGCACCAUCCGGUAAGGCUAAAUACUCCCAAGAGACCGAUAGUGAACUAGUACUGUGAAGGAAAGGUGAAAAGAACCGCGAAUAGCGGAGUGAAAUAGAUCCUGAAACCAUGCGCUUACAAGCGGUCGGAGCCCUCAAGUGGGGUGACGGCGUGCCUUUUGUAUAAUGAGCCUACGAGUUACUCUUCAUUGGCAAGGUUAAGGGCUUAAGGUCCGUUAACCGCAGCGAAAGCGAGUCUGAAUAGGGCGUAUAGUCAGUGGAGGUAGACGCGAAACCUUGUGAUCUACCCAUGGCCAGGUUGAAGCUCCGAUAACACGGAGUGGAGGACCGAACCGAUAAGCGUUGAAAAGCUUCCGGAUGAGCUGUGGGUAGGGGUGAAAGGCUAAUCAAACUGGGAAAUAGCUCGUACUCCCCGAAAUGCCUUUAGGGGCAGCGUAGAGGUAAAGUUUUAUAGAGGUAGAGCUACUGAUUGGAUGCGGGGGAAGCGAUUCCUACCAAGUCCUGACAAACUCCGAAUGCUAUAAAAUAUACUCUGCAGUGAGCCAUUGGGUGCUAAGGUCCAAUGACGAAAGAGAGAGAACUCAGACCAACAGCUAAGGUCCCCAAAUCUAUUCUAAGUUGAUAUAACGUGGUGCGACUGCAUUGACAGCCAGGAUGUUUGCUUGGAAGCAGCCAUUCAUUUAAAGAGUGCGUAACAGCUCACUGGUCGAGCGGUCGUGCGUGGACGAUACUCGGGCAUCAAGAAUAGUACCGAAGCUUUGGACUUAAAUUUAUUUAAGUGGUAGGGGAGCAUUCUAACUGCGUAGAAGAAGUUGCGUGAGCGCUAUUGGAGCGGUUAGAAAAGCAAAUGUAGGCAUAAGUAACGAUAAAACAGGCGAGAAACCUGUUCGCCGAUAGACUAAGGUUUCCUGAACAACGAUAAUCGGUUCAGGGUCAGUCGGGACCUAAGGCGAAGCCGAAGGGCGUAGUCGAUGGACAACUGGUUAAUAUUCCAGUACUUGUAUUACUGCGAUGGAGAGACGAAGGCGCGUAAGGUCAGCGAACUGACGGAAUAGUUCGUUUAAAUGCGUAGGUUUAGGUUAUGUAGGCAAAUCCGCAUAGCUUCUGAAACAUGAAAGUACCCAGAGUCGUCAGACAAAGGGAUUGACCCCAAGCAUACUUCCAAGAAAAUCUUCUAAGCUUCAGGUAAAUACAACCCGUACCGCAAACCGACACAGGUAGUCAAGUAGAAUAUACUAAGGCGCUCGAGUGAUCCGCGGCUAAGGAACUAGGCAAAUUAACCCUGUAACUUCGGGAAAAAGGGUGCCCCCAGCAAUGGGGGCCGCAGAGAAAUGGCGGUGGCGACUGUUUAACAAAAACACAGGGCUUUGCAAAACUGAAAGGUGACGUAUAAGGCCUGACACCUGCCCGGUGCCGGAAGGUUAAGAGGAGAGGUUAGCAGCAAUGCGAAGCUUUGAAUUGAAGCCCCGGUAAACGGCGGCCGUAACUAUAACGGUCCUAAGGUAGCGAAAUUCCUUGUCGGGUAAGUUCCGACCUGCACGAAUGGUGUAACGAUCUGGGCGCUGUCUCAGCC